Long non-coding RNA from Rattus rattus (black rat), 381 nucleotides. RefSeq lists it as uncharacterized. Lineage: Eukaryota; Metazoa; Chordata; Mammalia; Rodentia; Muridae. The transcript has 3 exons. The record is from RefSeq and is a predicted model, not a curated record.
AGACUGCCUAUUAGAAUGUUUGCCUAACCACAAAUGUUCUUGCCACUUUGCUACCUCAGAAGUCCUCUUAUUUCCUGCUCAAGCUAUGAACGGUUACCAGUAUAAUGUCAGUGAGCUGAAGAGUUGGCCAAAUGCACAGGACAGAUGUGGGGUAAGGAUGCUUUCAGCACAGCGAGACGACGACAGCCAGGCCUCCCGACGAUGAGCAGUCCCACAGACCAAGCACGAAGCAGCUACAAAAAGGCCCUUUGUUCACCACGCAAUGGCCAUCUUUUGUCAAUCAGACCCCAGAAGCUAAGGUGUGUGAGAGAGGGUAGGUUUGUGUACGUGAGGUACAGAUGCCCUCUGAGGCCAGAAGAAAGAGACAGAUCCCUUGGUGCU